This 185-nucleotide ribosomal RNA is filed under the name Heterosigma akashiwo. Its description in RNAcentral is "partial Eukaryotic small subunit ribosomal RNA". It matches the Rfam family "Eukaryotic small subunit ribosomal RNA", at positions 752 to 922 of the family's 1831-position model. Lineage: Eukaryota; Raphidophyceae; Chattonellales; Chattonellaceae. The record is from RNAcentral.
CGCGGUUCCGGCGCCGUUACUUUGAAAAAAUUAGAGUGCUCAAAGCAAGCCUACGCUCUGAAUACAUUAGCAUGGAAUAACGCGAUAGGAGUCUGGUCCUGUUCCGUUGGCCUUCGGGACCGGAGUAAUGAUUAAUAGGGACUGUCGGGGGCAUUCGUAUUUCAUUGUCAGAGGUGAAAUUCUUG